RNAcentral lists this long non-coding RNA (1284 nucleotides) under Pogona vitticeps (central bearded dragon). Its description in RNAcentral is "lncRNA (ENSPVIG00000000403.1)". The record is from RNAcentral. Lineage: Eukaryota; Metazoa; Chordata; Lepidosauria; Squamata; Agamidae.
AUGGCCUUCUUGAACAUGUCCCAACAUGUCAACGGCCCCACCCACAUGGGUGGCCACACACUUGACCUGGUUUUUUCCACUAAUGGGAGCGAGAGUGGUCCGAUGGUGACUGACCUUGAGUUGGUACCAUUGUCAUGGUCGAACUACCACCUAAUAAAAUGCACCCUUGAAAUGGCUCUCCCCGCUCGCAGGGAGCAGGGAUCUAUUGUUAUGGUCCACCCUCGAAGGCUACUGGAUCCAGCUGGUUUCCAGGAUGCCAUGAAAGGUGUUACGACUGACCUGGCUGGCGCUCCUGUCAAGGCUCUGGUUGACGGCUGGUUCGCCGCCGCAGCUAGGGCUGUAGACACGAUCCCACCUAAACGCCCUCUCCAACGCAGAGCCCACUCGGCGCCCUGGUUUAACCAGGAUCUCCAGGUGUUGAAGCAGUUUAGGAGACGGCUAGAGCGCAAGUGGAGAAAGGACCCGAUGGAUUAUAAUUGGAUAGCUGUCAAGGUCACCACUAACCUUUACCUGGCUAAGGUAAAGGCUGCUAGUCGAGCAUACUUCGCUAACCGGAUAAGCGAAGCGGCCAACCAGCAGGUGGAAUUAUUCCGUAUAGUGCGCGACCUAUCCGGAAUUGGUCUGAGUGAUAGGCCUCCCCCUAGUUUUUCACCGGACCAAUUUGCAGCAUUUUUUAUCAGGGGCUUGGGAGACUCCCUCUCAUUUGGGGUGGUCACCCUUGUCGCAAAUAGUGGGGUCCGUAGCCUGGGGAUCCAUCUGGACCCGGCGCUCACCAUGGAAACACAGGUGGCGUCGGUGGUCCGCUCCGCCUUUUUGCAUCUUUGGCUGAUAGCCCGGCUGCGACCUUAUCUCGACACGGGGGCACUCACUACCUUGGUGCAUGCGCUUGUAAUCUCCAGAUUAGACCACUGUAACGUGCUCUACGUGGGGCUACCUUUGAGGUUGACGCGGAAACUCCAAGUGGUGCAGAACGCAGCAGCCAGACUCCUUAGUGGAGCGAGAAAAUUCCAUCAUAUUUCUCCUAUUCUGGACGCGUUGCAUUGGCUGCCCACUCGGUUCUGCGCUGACUUCAAAGUUCUGAUGCUUACAUAUAAAGCCCUCAACGGUUUAGGGCCUCGAUACCUGGCGGAAUGCCUACUCCCACCAAGUUCUACCCGUGUCACUCGUGCGAGCCAGGAGGUGAGGCUGAGGAGCCUGACACCGAGGAAGGCCUGGAAGGAAAAAAACAAAACACCGGGCCUUCUUGGCGGUGGCUCCUCGCCUCUGGAACAACUUGCCUCCUGA